AAUGAACGCUGGCGGCGCGCCUAAUACAUGCAAGUCGAGCGAGAAGACGUAGCAAUACGUUUGUAAAGCGGCGAACGGGUGAGGAAUACAUGGGUAACCUACCCUCGAGUGGGGAAUAACUAGCCGAAAGGUUAGCUAAUACCGCGUACGCUUCUUGGACUUCGGUUCAGGGAGGAAAGCGAUGCCGAGGGUAUCGCGCUCUUGGAUGGGCUCAUGUCCUAUCAGCUUGUUGGGAGGUAACGGCUCACCAAGGCUUCGACGGGUANCUGGUCUGAGAGGACGAUCAGCCACACUGGCACUGCGACACGGGCCAGACUCCUACGGGAGGCAGUAGUAAGGAAUAUUGCGCAAUGGGCGAAAGCCUGACGCAGUGACGCCGCCGGUGGGGGAGU
RNAcentral lists this ribosomal RNA (392 nucleotides) under uncultured bacterium. RNAcentral's name for it is "bacterial SSU rRNA". It matches the Rfam family "Bacterial small subunit ribosomal RNA", at positions 29 to 410 of the family's 1533-position model. The record is from RNAcentral.